This is a long non-coding RNA of Malania oleifera, 1286 nucleotides long. RefSeq lists it as uncharacterized. The record is from RefSeq and is a predicted model, not a curated record. NCBI's taxonomy places the organism in Eukaryota, Viridiplantae, Streptophyta, Magnoliopsida, Santalales, Ximeniaceae. The transcript has 3 exons.
AGCUAUCACGUGAUGCAUUAGGACGACCAUGGUUAUUAUUGUAUUUCCUAUUAAUGUAAGGAGAAAGAAAAUAAAAUAAAAUAAAGCAUUAUUUUAUGCUUAUGGUUUUAAAUUGCGGUAGCGGGUAGAGUAACGUAAUGGUAACGGGUGUAAUGGGAAGCGGGACUAGCAGAUCUUACAUAACGGAAAGCGGGUGUAACAGUCAUGAAUAUUUUUGAAGCACACACAACCUUAUGCAUAUUAGCAUACUUGCAUAGAGAACUUCCGAUCGCCGGCUGUGUUCUCCGAUCGGCGCUGCAUAGUUAGCACGAAGUCGUCUCUCUUUGAUAGCACUGAGAUUGCCAUAGCAGACCACCAGAUCAUUGCCAUCGCUGUCGCGACCACGCCUCGCCGCCGAUCUCUCUAACAGCUCUCUUGCCCCUUAGACACAACGAGACUCUUGGGGGGGGGGGGGGGGCAGCGAACCCUUGAUUUGCAGUUGCAGAGAAUUUUCAAUUGCUGGCUGUGCUUCUCUUUCUCCGAUCGGCGCUGCAUACCAUUGCAGACCACCAGAUCGCUGCCAUCGCUGUCGCGACCACGCCUCGCCGCCAAUCUCUUAGACAACUCUCUUACCUCUUCGACACAAGGACGAUCUCGCGCUGUUCGCCAGUGUUUUUCGCGAGCAGGAGUAGGUGCAACCUGCCACCGCUGCCGCUAGCGUUCGUUUCUUUGCUGCCGCUGGCGUGAGCUCCUCCCAGGGUUUGAGUCUGCUGAAGGUUUCUCUGAUCUAAGAAAGGGUCUUGACUGAUGCCUUAAACAAAAUAGUUCAAGAAUGCUAUUCCUAAAGAAGGAUAUGAAUCAUGUGAUAUGCAUGGCUGCAUCAGUCAUUCAGUCCAAUCCAACCAUGAAGAAUUACUAAUAGCCUGUGGCCUUCAGACCUAGGCAUUUGCAGUAUCCACCUUACAUAAAAACUAACGGGUUUGUUUGCAUUUCUCUUAUUUCCUUUUCCUUCUGUCAAAAUUUGGCUAUAGAUCAGAUUUAGCACAUCCAGAUAAGGGUAAAGCGAGCACUACUAGAAAUCCACUAAUUAAAAGCAGAGUUCCGGAACAGUUGGAUAAUCAAGCCUAGUUUGUACCAAUUUACUAAUGUGAAGCUGGGUGCUGAACCAUGUCAUUACAUUAUUUGAGGCCAUCUGUAUUUCAUCAUUUGAUUCGCAUUUCAGCUCUCACUUGGCUUCCAGGUUUCUCAACCUGAACGAGUGUCCUCAAAUUUUGGUCUUAAUAUAAAUCUUUCUUGGUGUCCUCAAA